This 365-nucleotide ribosomal RNA is filed under the name Littoraria ardouiniana. RNAcentral's name for it is "partial 12S ribosomal RNA". Lineage: Eukaryota; Metazoa; Mollusca; Gastropoda; Littorinimorpha; Littorinidae. The record is from RNAcentral.
UCUUAGCUAUAAAUUAAAUUUAUUUACCAGAGUACUACGAACAUUAAGUUUAAAACUCAAAGAGCUUGGCGGUGCUUUAGACUCCUCAGGGGAACCUGUCCCGUAAUCGACAGUCCACGAACCAACCUCACCUUUUUCUCGCAAAGUCAGUAUGUAUACCGUCGUCGCCAGGUAACUUUUCAAAAUAUAGAAGUUAGCAAUCAAAAAAUUAAUUUUUCACGUCAGAUCAAGGUGCAGCCUAUGGAAAGGAGCGGAUGGGUUACAAUUAACACUUAUAACCACGGAUUUAACUUUUAACAAGUUUCUGAAGGCGGACUUGAAAGUAAAGCCUAGCAGCUAAAUGCCUUGAAUCAAGCUCUGAAGCG